RNAcentral lists this non-coding RNA (29 nucleotides) under Callithrix jacchus (white-tufted-ear marmoset). The record is from RNAcentral. Lineage: Eukaryota; Metazoa; Chordata; Mammalia; Primates; Cebidae. RNAcentral also lists the same sequence under 1 other name.
UGACUUUAGGGCUGGGUGGGCCUUGGGGG